CCUACGGGCGGCUGCAGUGGGGAAUAUUGCACAAUGGGCGCAAGCCUGAUGCAGCCAUGCCGCGUGUGUGAAGAAGGCCUUCGGGUUGUAAAGCACUUUCAGCGGGGAGGAAGGCGUUAAGGUUAAUAACCUUGUCGAUUGACGUUACCCGCAGAAGAAGCACCGGCUAACUCCGUGCCAGCAGCCGCGGUAAUACGGAGGGUGCAAGCGUUAAUCGGAAUUACUGGGCGUAAAGCGCACGCAGGCGGUCUGUCAAGUCGGAUGUGAAAUCCCCGGGCUCAACCUGGGAACUGCAUUCGAAACUGGCAGGCUAGAGUCUGGGAGAGGGGGGUAGAAUUGCAGGAGUAGCGGUGAAAUGCGAAGAGCUCUGGAGGAAUACCGGUGGCGAAGGCGGCCCCCUGGACAAAGACUGACGCUCAGGUGCGAAAGCGUGGGGAGCAAACAGGAUUAGAUACCCUUGUAGUA
Molecule: ribosomal RNA, 465 nt
Filed under: uncultured Klebsiella sp.
Lineage: Bacteria; Pseudomonadati; Pseudomonadota; Gammaproteobacteria; Enterobacterales; Enterobacteriaceae
Description: bacterial SSU rRNA
Rfam family: Bacterial small subunit ribosomal RNA
Source: RNAcentral